This 455-nucleotide ribosomal RNA is filed under the name uncultured Acidovorax sp. RNAcentral's name for it is "bacterial SSU rRNA". It matches the Rfam family "Bacterial small subunit ribosomal RNA", at positions 923 to 1382 of the family's 1533-position model. Lineage: Bacteria; Pseudomonadati; Pseudomonadota; Betaproteobacteria; Burkholderiales; Comamonadaceae. The record is from RNAcentral.
GCACAAGCGGUGGAUGAUGUGGUUAAUUCGAUGCAACGCGAAAACCUUACCACCUUGACAUGUACGGAAUCCUUUAGAGAUAGAGGAGUGCUCGAAAGAGAGCCGUAACACAGGUGCUGCAUGGCUGUCGUCAGCUCGUGUCGUGAGAUGUUGGGUUAAGUCCCGCAACGAGCGCAACCCUUGUCAUUAGUUGCUACAUUCAGUUGGGCACUCUAAUGAGACUGCCGGUGACAAACCGGAGGAAGGUGGGGAUGACGUCAAGUCCUCAUGGCCCUUAUAGGUGGGGCUACACACGUCAUACAAUGGAUGGUACAAAGGGUCGCCAACCCGCGAGGGGGAGCCAAUCCCAUAAAGCCAUUCGUAGUCCGGAUCGCAGUCUGCAACUCGACUGCGUGAAGUCGGAAUCGCUAGUAAUCGUGGAUCAGAAUGUCACGGUGAAUACGUUCCCGGGCCUU